GCCUCCCUAGCUCAAUGGUAGAGUAGCGGUUCUGUAAACCGUCGAUGACAGUUCGAUUUCUGUCGGGAGGCUCAA
RNAcentral lists this transfer RNA (75 nucleotides) under Candidatus Woesebacteria bacterium CG07_land_8_20_14_0_80_44_9. Its description in RNAcentral is "tRNA-Thr". It matches the Rfam family "tRNA". From Rfam's summary of the family: Transfer RNA (tRNA) molecules are approximately 80 nucleotides in length. Their secondary structure includes four short double-helical elements and three loops (D, anti-codon, and T loops). RNAcentral also lists the same sequence under 1 other name. Lineage: Bacteria; Candidatus Woeseibacteriota. The record is from RNAcentral.